RNAcentral lists this unclassified non-coding RNA (383 nucleotides) under uncultured Tepidisphaerales bacterium. RNAcentral's name for it is "contains 16S-23S intergenic spacer region". The record is from RNAcentral. Lineage: Bacteria; Pseudomonadati; Planctomycetota; Phycisphaerae; Tepidisphaerales.
UCCGGUUUGACACCGGCAGUCCCCUUAGAGUCCUCGGCAUAACCCGUUAGUAACUAAGGGCAAAGGUUUCGCUCGUUAAGGGACUUAACCCGACAUCUCACGACACGAGCUGACGACAGCCAUGCAGCACCUGUGCUAGUUCCACCCCGAAGGGCGUACCCUGCUUUCACAGGGAUAAUCCUAGCAUGUCAAGCCCAGGUAAGGUUCUGCGCGUUGCUUCGAAUUGAACCACAUGCUCCACCGCUUGUGUGAGCCCCCGUCAAUUCCUUUGAGUUUUAGCCUUGCGACCGUACUUCCCAGGCGGUCCACUUAGCACUUUUGCUUCGACCCUAACCCCGUCAGAGGGACUAGGAUCUAGUGGACAUCGUUUAGGGCCAGGACUA